AUCAGUAAGCGGAGGAAAAGAAACUAACAAGGAUCCCCCUAGUAACGGCGAGUGAAGCGGGAAGAGCUCAAAUUUGUAAUCUGGCACUUUCAGUGUCCGAGUUGUAAUCUCGAGAAGUGUUUUCCGCGCCGGACCGCAUACAAGUCUGUUGGAAUACAGCGUCAUAGUGGUGAGAACCCCGUAACUGAUGCGGAUGCCCGGUGCUUUGUGAUACACUUUCGAAGAGUCGAGUUGUUUGGGAAUGCAGCUCAAAUUGGGUGGUAAAUUCCAUCUAAAGCUAAAUAUUGGCGAGAGACCGAUAGCGAACAAGUACCGUGAGGGAAAGAUGAAAAGCACUUUGGAAAGAGAGUUAACAGUACGUGAAAUUGUUGGAAGGGAAACGAUUGAAGUCAGACUUGUUAUCUGGAGUUCAGCCUUUCGGUGUACUCUCCAGUUUACAGGCCAGCAUCAGUUUUCGGGGCGGGAAAAUCGUAAUUAGAAGGUAGCAGCCUAGCUGUGUUAUAGCUUUUUACUGGAUUCCGCUUUGGGGACUGAGGAACGCAGUGUGCUUUUAGCAAUACCCUCGGGUAUUUCACACGUAGGAUGCGGGAAG
This 592-nucleotide ribosomal RNA is filed under the name Curvibasidium nothofagi. RNAcentral describes it as "eukaryotic LSU rRNA". It matches the Rfam family "Eukaryotic large subunit ribosomal RNA", at positions 42 to 632 of the family's 3401-position model. The record is from RNAcentral. Lineage: Eukaryota; Fungi; Basidiomycota; Microbotryomycetes.